AGAAUCAACGCUGGCGGCGUGCCUAACACAUGCAAGUCGCACGAGAAAGGGACUUCGGUCCUGAGUACAGUGGCGCACGGGUGAGUAACACGUGAAUAAUCUACCUCCGAGUGGGGAAUAACUGAGAGAAAUCUUAGCUAAUACCGCAUAACACUUACGAGUCAAAGCAGCAAUGCGCUUGGAGAGGAGUUCGCGGCCGAUUAGUUAGUUGGCGGGGUAAUGGCCCACCAAGACGAUGAUCGGUAUCCGGCCUGAGAGGGCGCACGGACACACUGGAACUGAAACACGGUCCAGACUCCUACGGGAAGCAGCAGUGGGGAAUUUUGCGCAAUGGGGGAAACCCUGACGCAGCAACGCCGCGUGGAGGAUGAAGCCCUUGGGGUGUAAACUCUUUCGAUCGGGAAGAUAAUGACGGUACCGAUAUAAGAAGCCCCGGCUAACUUCGCGCCAGCAGCCGC
RNAcentral lists this ribosomal RNA (458 nucleotides) under uncultured bacterium. RNAcentral's name for it is "SSU rRNA". It matches the Rfam family "Bacterial small subunit ribosomal RNA", at positions 26 to 518 of the family's 1533-position model. The record is from RNAcentral.